CCUACGGGAGGCAGCAGUGGGGAAUAUUGCACAAUGGGGGGAACCCUGAUGCAGCGACGCCGCGUGGGUGAAGGAGUAUUUCGGUAUGUAAAGCCCUAUCAGCAGGGAAGAACAAUGACGGUACCUGACUAAGAAGCACCGGCUAAAUACGUGCCAGCAGCCGCGGUAAUACGUAUGGUGCAAGCGUUAUCCGGAUUUACUGGUUGUAAAGGGAGCGCAGGCGGCGCGUUAAGCCUGGUGUGAAAGUCCGCGGCCCAACCGCGGGACUGCAUUGGGAACUGGCGCGCUGGAGUGCCGGAGGGGUAGGCGGAAUACCUAGUGUAGCGGUGAAAUGCGUAGAUAUUAGGAGGAACACCAGUGGCGAAGGCGGCCUACUGGACGGUGACUGACGCUGAGGUCGAAAGCGUGGGGAGCAAACAGGAUUAGAUACCCCAGUAGUC
Molecule: ribosomal RNA, 440 nt
Filed under: uncultured bacterium
Lineage: Bacteria
Description: partial 16S ribosomal RNA
Rfam family: Bacterial small subunit ribosomal RNA
Source: RNAcentral